UGGAAACGGCUCCCUAAGAGCACUCUCAUGAGAUGGAGGAGGAACCGUACUGUUCUCAACAUAGACAUCAGCCGAAUAUACAUCACAAGCAAUAUCAGAGUCAGAUGUAGAAGGAGAAUCAUAGACACAGGCAGAAUAAGCAUUUCUCACAUAACCAAAAUAGGUAGACAUGGGAAAGAAGGGGGAAAAGAAGAAUGUAAUGAAAAUAUGCAACGAAAGCUACCUAAAUGCAACACACAUAACACACAUACAAAAACGAACACACAAAAGAGAACAUCACACUCACAACACAAGACAAAACAUAACACACACUAACACAACAAAAGACCUAAAACCGAACCGUUGGUCCCUUGCAACGGCGCCAAAAUUUGAUGGGUGUCGCGGCCCAUGCAAAUUUGAUUGCAUAUAAGAAAUGCAGUAUAGCUAGGAAGUGACUCCUAGGUCGUCUCUCAAGGACCAAAUGUGGUUC
This 469-nucleotide long non-coding RNA is filed under the name Vigna radiata. RNAcentral describes it as "long non-coding RNA (VRAD_LNC013939)". Lineage: Eukaryota; Viridiplantae; Streptophyta; Magnoliopsida; Fabales; Fabaceae. The record is from RNAcentral.